This 253-nucleotide ribosomal RNA is filed under the name uncultured bacterium. Its description in RNAcentral is "partial 16S ribosomal RNA". It matches the Rfam family "Bacterial small subunit ribosomal RNA", at positions 524 to 776 of the family's 1533-position model. The record is from RNAcentral.
UAUGUAGGGUGCAAGCGUUAAUCGGAAUUACUGGGCGUAAAGCGUGCGCAGGCGGUGAUGUAAGACAGGUGUGAAAUCCCCGGGCUUAACCUGGGAACUGCAUUUGUGACUGCAUCGCUGGAGUGCGGCAGAGGGGGAUGGAAUUCCGCGUGUAGCAGUGAAAUGCGUAGAUAUGCGGAGGAACACCGAUGGCGAAGGCAAUCCCCUGGGCCUGCACUGACGCUCAUGCACGAAAGCGUGGGGAGCAAACAGG